AGAGCAGAUUGACAUCUGGUACCAAUGAACUAAAUUUGUUUUCAUUUUCUGUUGGCCGGAUUCCAGUGAGUCCUCAAGUCAUCUUGAGAGUCUAGAAUGUAAAAAAAGGAACUGUAAAAAAAAGAAAAUUGCUGUCCAGCUUCUGUUCCAUCUUUCUGUGCAUCUGCUGCUGGACAUCAUUGAGAAUGAUUUGGAGGUACUUUAGCCGCUUAAAGCUGCUUGCAAGAUCAAGGAUUUUAAUUCCCAGUCUUGAGACUGAGUCAUUGAGAAUUGCUCACUGAAGUCACCAAUGGUGAGUGAAACCUUCACAACUUCAUCAUUUGCCCCAGCAAAAGUAAAAAUAACAGAGACUUUUUCUUAUAUCUGUCAAGAUCCACUUGCAUUGCAGUCCUGUCCUCCAGCAUGGCUACCAUCCUUCCUAGCUUGCUGUUACCUGAAAAUUUAAUACAAUAGAAUGCAAGUCAGAGAUGAAAAUACUGUCCUAAAUGAGAUGAGAUCCAAGACAGAACCUUGAGCAGAAUCAUUCAGUGCAUCCUUUCAGCUUUAUAGUGAGAAAUUAGUAAUUAUUCUGUUUCCCUCACUUGCUUAUAAGUCUUCACAGAGACUAGAACUGAAAUUCAAAAUGUACGACAAUUGUUUCUUUCCCUCAGCUUAGAAGAUCUGAUGCCUUGUCAUGAAAGGAAAUUAAAUUAAUUUUACAUAAUUUAUUCUUGACAAACUAUGUUGGUAUUACCUCCUUGUCGUGUCUAUGUACUAAAAAUUAUUUUCCUAACUCUCAAAAAAGUUGUUAUCUGAACUUUCUAGUUUUAUGGCCUAUAGCAGGCCUCCCAACCCUUCUUCUUUUACACUUUUAUCAUUAAUUUAUUAUUUUACAUCUAUCAUUAAAAAUGAUAAAUACGAAGUAAAACAUAGGU
Dromaius novaehollandiae (emu) is the source of this 914-nucleotide long non-coding RNA. RefSeq lists it as uncharacterized. NCBI's taxonomy places the organism in Eukaryota, Metazoa, Chordata, Aves, Casuariiformes, Dromaiidae. The transcript is spliced from 4 exons. The record is from RefSeq and is a predicted model, not a curated record.